Molecule: ribosomal RNA, 253 nt
Filed under: uncultured bacterium
Lineage: Bacteria
Description: partial 16S ribosomal RNA
Rfam family: Bacterial small subunit ribosomal RNA
Source: RNAcentral
UACGGAGGGGGCUAGCGUUGUUCGGAAUUAUUGGGCGUAAAGGGCUCGUAGGCGGUCUGUUGCGUCAGGAGUGAAAACUCGGGGCUUAACCCCGAGCCUGCUUCUGAUACGGGCAGACUAGAGGUAUGCAGGGGAGAACGGAAUUCCUGGUGUAGCGGUGAAAUGCGCAGAUAUCAGGAGGAACACCGGUGGCGAAGGCGGUUCUCUGGGCCUUACCUGACGCUGAGGCGCGAAAGCUAGGGGAGCAAACAGG